RNAcentral lists this ribosomal RNA (914 nucleotides) under uncultured archaeon. Its description in RNAcentral is "bacterial SSU rRNA". It matches the Rfam family "Archaeal small subunit ribosomal RNA", at positions 1 to 921 of the family's 1478-position model. The record is from RNAcentral.
UUCCGGUUGAUCCUGCCGGAGGUCACUGCUAUUGGGAUUCGACUAAGCCAUGCGAGUCGAGAGGGUUCGGCCCUCGGCUGACGGCUCAGUAACACGUGGAUAAUCUGCCCUAGGGUGGAGGAUAAUCUCGGGAAACUGAGAAUAAUACUCCAUAGGUUUAGGAGGCUGGAAUGCAUCUAAGCUGAAAGUUCCGGCGCCCUAGGAUGAGUCUGCGGACUAUCAGGUUGUAGUCAGGGUAAAGACCUGACUAGCCUACGACGGAUACGGGUUGUGAGAGCAAUAACCCGGAGACGAUAUCUGAGACACGAUAUCGGGCCCUACGGGGCGCAGCAGGCGCGAAAACUUCACACUGUGCGAAAGCACGAUGAGGGAAUCCCAAGUGCUUACUCGUAAGAGUAGGCUGUUUCUUAGUCUAAAAAACUGAGAGAGUAAGAGCUGGGUAAGACGGGUGCCAGCCGCCGCGGUAAUACCUGCAGCUCAAGUGGUGGCCGCUAUUAUUGGGCCUAAAACGUCCGUAGCCUGUUUAGUAAAUGCUUGGGUAAAUUGUGUAGCUUAACUAUACGAAUACCGGGUAGACUGCUAAACUUGGAACCGGGAGAGGCUAGAGGUACUCCUAGGGUAGAGGUGAAAUUCUGUAAUCCUAGGGGGACCACCAGUGGCGAAGGCGUCUAGCUAGAACGGGUCUGACGGUGAGGGACGAAGCCCUGGGGCGCAAACCGGAUUAGAUACCCGGGUAGUCCAGGGUGUAAACGCUGCUUGCUUGAUGUUAGUUGGGCUCCGAGCCCAACUAGUGUCGGAGAGAAGUUGUUAAGCAAGCUGCCUGGGAAGUACGGUCGCAAGACUGAAACUUAAAGGAAUUGGCGGGGGAGCACAGCAACGGGUGGAGCGUGCGGUUUAAUUGGACUCAACGCGGU